GGUAGUAUGGCCGAGAGCCAGGCGGAAGGCUGUAGAUUUUCAUAGGGGCUAGAUGGGAGGCCCUGCUACCA
Molecule: transfer RNA, 71 nt
Filed under: Gehyra dubia
Lineage: Eukaryota; Metazoa; Chordata; Lepidosauria; Squamata; Gekkonidae
Description: tRNA-Tyr
Source: RNAcentral